This is a long non-coding RNA of Carya illinoinensis, 859 nucleotides long. RefSeq lists it as uncharacterized. NCBI's taxonomy places the organism in Eukaryota, Viridiplantae, Streptophyta, Magnoliopsida, Fagales, Juglandaceae. The record is from RefSeq and is a predicted model, not a curated record. The transcript has 2 exons.
AUUUGGAUCAUUGUUGGAACUUAUUGAGGCACCAACCAAAGUGGCAAGUGCAUAUGGAUAAUUUGCCAACAAAGAGAAAGACGGGUUGCCCUACUGUUCCAGCUGCCAUUGCCAUAGAUGUUGAGGAAAAUGAGAGCAUGUCUACCAAUUUGGAGAGGCCGCUAGGCAAGAAAUCUGAAAAACAAAGGGAAAGGAAAAGGAAACAUGAAGAAUCUUGUAAUAGUCAAUUUGAUGAAAAGUUAAGUAACAUGGAAGCUGAUAGGAGGAUAAUGAUGAUUAAGCUACGGGAGACGGCAAUGAAGGCUGAAAAGGACAGGGCUGAGAUCAUCUCACUUAAGAAGAAGAAGAUGGAGAUGGAAGUCAUGAUGUUGAAUGUUGAUAACAUGAAUGCAGUGCAGCGAGAAUACUUCAAGUCAAUUCAAAUUAAGAUCUUAGAGAAACAUAGGACUGAAUUGAAUGAAAUGCAGUAGCUGGAGGAGGGAGAAUUGGUACUGAUUUAUGAAAUGGAAGACUAUUUUUUGCAUUGAAGUCUACUUUUUGGAACUUCAUGACAGCUUGGAACCCACUGACUGAUUUUUUGGAUGUAUAUUGAAACUUGUAACUGCUGUUAUAUGUUAGUUGAUGGUUUAUAUUUGAACUGCUGUAUAUGAUAACUAGGUGCAGAUUUAUGUAUUUCCUCUUGGUAUUUAUGUAAGUGUUUUUUGUAAUUAAGAUGGUGUUUGAAUAUUUGAUUUCCACUAUGUGUUUAUGUAAGUGUUUUGUAAUUAAGAUGGUGGAGGAAGUGUAUAUUUCCUCUAGGUGUUUAUGUAUAUGAUUUUGUAAUUAAGAAGGUUAAGAAUGCAGUGCAAAUUUCCUAAUU